GUGAGGAAUAUUGGUCAAUGGGCGAGAGCCUGAACCAGCCAAGUCGCGUGAAGGAAGAAGGAUCUAUGGUUCGUAAACUUCUUUUGCAGGGGAAUAAAGUGCAGGACGUGUCCUGUUUUGUACGUACCCUGAGAAUAAGGAUCGGCUAACUCCGUGCCAGCAGCCGCGGUAAUACGGAGGAUCCGAGCGUUAUCCGGAUUUAUUGGGUUUAAAGGGUGCGUAGGUGGUUUGAUAAGUCAGCGGUGAAAGUUUGCAGCUUAACUGUAAAAAUGCCGUUGAAACUGUCGGACUUGAGUGUAAAUGAGGUAGGCGGAAUGCGUGGUGUAGCGGUGAAAUGCAUAGAUAUCACGCAGAACUCCGAUUGCGAAGGCAGCUUACUAAGCUACAACUGACACUGAAGCACGAAAGCGUGGGGAUCAAACAGGAUUAGAAACCCUAGUAGUCC
This 445-nucleotide ribosomal RNA is filed under the name uncultured bacterium. Its description in RNAcentral is "partial 16S ribosomal RNA". It matches the Rfam family "Bacterial small subunit ribosomal RNA", at positions 354 to 796 of the family's 1533-position model. The record is from RNAcentral.